RNAcentral lists this ribosomal RNA (809 nucleotides) under Pseudogymnoascus sp. RNAcentral's name for it is "partial large subunit ribosomal RNA". It matches the Rfam family "Eukaryotic large subunit ribosomal RNA", at positions 87 to 917 of the family's 3401-position model. The record is from RNAcentral. Lineage: Eukaryota; Fungi; Ascomycota; Leotiomycetes; Thelebolales; Thelebolaceae.
CGGCGAGUGAAGCGGUAACAGCUCAAAUUUGAAAUCUGGCCUCACGGUCCGAGUUGUAAUUUGUAGAGGAUGCUUCGAGCAUGGUCUGGCCUAAGUUCCUUGGAACAGGACGUCAUAGAGGGUGAGAAUCCCGUAUGCGGCCAGGUGCCUACGCUCAUGUGAAGCUCCUUCGACGAGUCGAGUUGUUUGGGAAUGCAGCUCAAAAUGGGUGGUAAAUUUCAUCUAAAGCUAAAUAUUGGCCAGAGACCGAUAGCGCACAAGUAGAGUGAUCGAAAGAUGAAAAGCACUUUGGAAAGAGAGUUAAACAGUACGUGAAAUUGUUGAAAGGGAAGCGCUUGCAACCAGACUUGCGCGCGGCCGAUCAUCCGGUGUUCUCACCGGUGCACUCGGCCGUGCUCAGGCCAGCAUCGGUUUUGGCGGCUGGAUAAAGGCCCUAGGAAUGUAGCUCCUCUCGGGGAGUGUUAUAGCCUAGGGUGCAAUGCAGCCUGCUGGGACCGAGGACCGCGCUUCGGCUAGGAUGCUGGCGUAAUGGUUGUAAGCGGCCCGUCUUGAAACACGGACCAAGGAGUCUAACAUCUAUGCGAGUGUUUGGGUGUCAAACCCAUACGCGUAAUGAAAGUGAACGGAGGUGAGAACCCUUAAGGGUGCAUCAUCGACCGGUCCUGAAGUUUACGGAAGGAUCUGAGUAAGAGCAUAGCUGUUGGGACCCGAAAGAUGGUGAACUAUGCCUGAAUAGGGUGAAGCCAGAGGAAACUCUGGUGGAGGCUCGCAGCGGUUCUGACGUGCAAAUCGAUCGUCAAAUUUGGGUA